ACCCAAUAGAUACCCGGGUAGUCCACGCCGUAAACGAUGAUGACUCGACCUGUGCGGGGCUCAAAUCCCCCGUGCGGGUCGACAGCUAACGACGAUAAGUCAUCCGCCUGGGAAGUACGGUCGCAAGACUAAAACUACAAGGAAUUGACGGGGACCCGCACAAGCAGCGGAGCGUGUGGUUUAAUUCGACGCAACGCGCACAACCUUACCCAGAUUUGACAUGGCGCUGCAAGCGCACGGAAACGUGCGACCUGCGAGGGUGCGCCACAGAUGCUGCAUGGCUGUCGUCAGCUCGUGUCGUGAGAUGUUGGGUUAAGUCCCGCAACGAGCGCAACCCUCGUCGCAGUUACCGCGUGUCUGGCGAGACUGCCCUCGGUAGGAA
RNAcentral lists this ribosomal RNA (382 nucleotides) under uncultured bacterium. Its description in RNAcentral is "bacterial SSU rRNA". It matches the Rfam family "Bacterial small subunit ribosomal RNA", at positions 772 to 1164 of the family's 1533-position model. The record is from RNAcentral.